UCCUGUGGGCGUUACUGAGAAGAGAGGGAGUCUCGUUUCCACCUGGUCUGAGCCCCGCGGUGGGUGGGCCUGGAGUUUGGGCCGUCGCUUUCCUCCUCUGAGUAAAGAGCCUGUUGGAGAAUAGAGCCAAGAAGAGAAUGGGAGCGCCAGAGACGGAGAGAGUGAAUGUGGGUCCUGAAGAAAUCCUUCCUCUGGGUCCGGCCCCAUCCGAAGUCUGCGAGAUCUGUUCCAGGAUUAGUGGGGUGGCUGAGCCAGUAAAUUAUCUUUUUUUGCUUAAUCCUGUUUGAAUUGGGAUUCAACCACAACGACAGAGAUCCUGACUUCUAUAGGCCUUCAGUGAAUUUUUGUACCUUUACUUUAAUCGAUAUGUUGGACUUGCCCAGUGUCACAGCUAGUAAGUGGCAACAGUGUUAUUUGAAACCAGUUCUGACCCUAUAGCUCAUGUAUGUCAUGUUCUCUGCAUAUGGGAACUUGCAUUGUAUUGGGGGGCCAGACGGACACAGACACAGAUGAAUCAGGUGGAUGAUGAGCCAAGGUGGGGACGGCUUGGCCGUUGUGUAAAAGCCCUGGGCGUCGUGCUUCUGGAGCACCCUCACCCUGCACUCUCCUUCCAAAGCUGUAAAUGGUCUGGGAGAAGCACAAUUGCUGGUUCACAGACAUGCCAGCUGGCUCUGAGUGUUUCUAUGCAAGGAGCUGAUGCUUCUAUUGCUUAUUUAAAGGAGAAUUCUUGCCUAGAGCAGACUGGAUGAAACAGAGACACAUCCACAGUGCUGGACUCUGACUCACCAUGUGACUCCUUUGGUUGAGUCAUCUCUCUCCUGAGAUGGGCUCUCUUGUCUGCAAAAUGAAGCUUGACGAAUGUACAAAUGAGGUCUCUUGAGUAGUGAAACUGGAAGGUUGCUGCUGGGUAGUCCCACCUGAGUAACUGUAGGACUAGGCUUUCCCUAACAUAUCUGGGAGUCCCCAAGGGUAUUGGUGAACAAGUCCAGGUGGUCUGACAUUAUCUCCCCAGCUCUGGAAAGACCCUCGCUCCCGAUGGAGCUCAGUGCCUCCUGUUGCACAACAGUCACCCCUGCCCAGAGUGCCCUAUUUCUGUGGCACUGCCUGCCUCUGGACUAUCCUCUUAGCAUGCUGCCCCACUGCCCUGGACCUCUGGUGAGGAAGGAAGCUCCCUUCCCCAGUCCUGUUAUCAUGGAAAUACUCUCCAGGGAGUGGUCUGCUCAGAACCUCCACAACUCGUCCAGGAGAACCAUGAGGCUGGGUCUGAGGGCUGCAGGAUCUCUGCAGAAAUAAGAAGACGUGGUGGAGAAGGGAUGACACCCAGUGAUAUAAUCUUUGGCCCACUGCUCCAAAGAUGCGCUAAGACAAUAAAACCACUAAUUCUGUCUCCUAGUAUACCAGGAAUGGAAGCUCUGCAGGAAAACCAAGUUGUAUUGUAAUUACAAGCUUUUAAGAAUUAAAGGAAGCAGAGGUCUGGAAAGUCUGUCUUACCUAGAGCUUCACAGCCAGGACAUCUGAAGUCCUGCCCUUCACAGAUCUUGUGGCGUGAUGGAAGAAACAGGCAUUCAGAAAGCUAUAAUAUAAAACAAAAGGAAAUGAAAGAUCAAAUAGACCUUCAAACAAAUGCCAGCUGAACAGUAAAAACAAAACAAAACAAAACAAACAAAAAACCCCAAAACAAAAGCCAACCCAGCCCAGCAGUUAAAUGUGAUUUGAGUCAAUAAAGGCUACACGGGGACGCCUGGGUGGCUUAGCGGUUGAACGUCUGCCUUUGGCUCAGGUCGUGAUCCCGUGGUUCUAGGAUCGAGUCCCACAUCAGGCUCCCGGCAUGGAGCCUGCUUCUCCCUCUG
Molecule: long non-coding RNA, 1850 nt
Organism: Canis lupus familiaris (dog)
Lineage: Eukaryota; Metazoa; Chordata; Mammalia; Carnivora; Canidae
Exons: 3
Source: RefSeq, a predicted model, not a curated record